RNAcentral lists this ribosomal RNA (499 nucleotides) under uncultured bacterium. Its description in RNAcentral is "partial 16S ribosomal RNA". It matches the Rfam family "Bacterial small subunit ribosomal RNA", at positions 28 to 507 of the family's 1533-position model. The record is from RNAcentral.
GACGAACGCUGGCGGCGUGCCUAAUACAUGCAAGUCGAGCGAAGUUUUUCUGGUGCUUGCACUAGAAAAACUUAGCGGCGAACGGGUGAGUAACACGUAAAGAACCUGCCUCAUAGACUGGGACAACUAUUGGAAACGAUAGCUAAUACCGGAUAACAGUAUUUCUCGCAUGAGAGAUAUUUAAAAGUUUGUUAUGCUAACACUAUGAGAUGGCUUUGCGGUGCAUUAGCUAGUUGGUGGGGUAAAGGCCCACCAAGGCGACGAUGCAUAGCCGACCUGAGAGGGUGAUCGGCCACACUGGAACUGAGACACGGCCCAGACUCCUACGGGAGGCAGCAGUAGGGAAUCUUCCGCAAUGGGCGAAAGCCUGACGGAGCAACGCCGCGUGAGUGAAGAAGGAUUUCGGUUCGUAAAGCUCUGUUGUUAGGGAAGAAUAGAUAUGUAGUAACUAUACAUGUAAGAGACGGUACCUAACCAGAAAGCCACGGCUAACUACGUG